CCAACUGAUCAAAUAAACAGCAUAACUAUGAAACCAAAUCAGAAAGGAAAACGCAAACACAAAGUAGAAUUAAAAAUUCAUAUUUAAAAAAGACAAGGAACAGGAACGGAAGAGAAAACUUAAGACCUCUCUCUCUCACGAAAGCAUAGCAUAAAACAACCACAAAGUAACUUACAGACCAUAUCAAUAAAUUUCAAUGACAUACCAAAGCAGCGAUUUCCAAACAUGAAAGCCAUAAAACAAAAAAACACAAGUAGAUCAGCAUAAAUCUUAAAUUAAAACAGAAAAAGCAGAAGACAAUGCUGAAGUAAAGAUCCGUACACGAUAAUUAAAAAACCAUGACGCGGAACAACAAAAAUACAACAGAGGGAAACAUAGAAUUCAAAAAUAAAAAACAUAAAACGAGUUUAGUUUAGUGACAAAAACCCACAGAAAAGUAUCUAUAUUUGCUGAAAACCAAAAUCCCGGACAAAUAAAACCUAAUGGACCAGUUUAAUAUACAGUUCUACAUUUUAAU
This 517-nucleotide long non-coding RNA is filed under the name Gossypium barbadense (sea-island cotton). RNAcentral's name for it is "long non-coding RNA (GBAR_LNC022109)". Lineage: Eukaryota; Viridiplantae; Streptophyta; Magnoliopsida; Malvales; Malvaceae. The record is from RNAcentral.